This 570-nucleotide ribosomal RNA is filed under the name uncultured bacterium. RNAcentral's name for it is "bacterial SSU rRNA". It matches the Rfam family "Bacterial small subunit ribosomal RNA", at positions 87 to 648 of the family's 1533-position model. The record is from RNAcentral.
CAAUACAACCGGCGCACGGGUGAGUAACGCGUACACAACUUACCAUAUACUGGGGUAUAGCUUUGGGAAACUGAAGGUAAUCCCCCAUAACAUUGCGAGAGGGCAUCUGAUUGCAAUUAAAGUUUCGGCGGUAUAUGAUUGGUGUGCGUUUGAUUAGCUAGUUGGUAGGGUAACGGCCUACCAAGGCGACGAUCAAUAGCUGGCGUGAGAGCGCGACCAGCCACACUGGAACUGAGACACGGUCCAGACUCCUACGGGAGGCAGUAGUAGGGAAUAUUGGACAAUGGAGGAAACUCUGAUCCAGCCAUGCCGCGUGAUAGAUGAAGGCCCUCUGGGUUGUAAAUAUCUUUUAUCUGGGAAGAAACCAUCUUUAUUCUUAAGAUCUUGACGGUUCCCAGAGGAAUAAGCACCGGCUAACUCCGUGCCAGCAGCCCGCGGGUAUUACGGAGGGUGCAAGCGUUAUCCGGAUUCACUGGGUUUAAAGGGUGCGUAAGGCGGGCUUGAUAAGUCAGUGGUGAAAGCUCCCAACUUAACUUGGAAACCUGCCAUUGAUACUGCCAGUCUUGAAUG